This 159-nucleotide ribosomal RNA is filed under the name uncultured bacterium. RNAcentral's name for it is "partial 16S ribosomal RNA". It matches the Rfam family "Bacterial small subunit ribosomal RNA", at positions 377 to 528 of the family's 1533-position model. The record is from RNAcentral.
GCGAAGCUGAUCCAGCCAUGCCGCGUGUGUGAAGAAGGUCUUCGGAUUGUAAAGCACUUUAAGUUGGGAGGAAGGGUUGUAGAUUAAUACUCUGCAAUUUUGACGUUACCGACAGAAUAAGCACCGGCUAACUCUGUGCCAGCAGCCGCGGUAAUACCG